Acanthosepion pharaonis is the source of this 84-nucleotide non-coding RNA. The record is from the annotation of a GenBank genome assembly. Lineage: Eukaryota; Metazoa; Mollusca; Cephalopoda; Sepiida; Sepiidae.
UCCCAUACAAUCACUGAAGUUAAGCAACAUCAAGCUGGGUCAGUACCUAGAUGGGUGACCGCUUGGGAAUAUCAGGUGCUGUAA